GACGGAGGGUGCUAGCGUUGUUCGGAAUCACUGGGCGUAAAGGGCGCGUAGGCGGUCGUGACAAGUCACUUGUGAAAUCUCCGGGCUUAACUCGGAACGGUCAAGUGAUACUGUCGGACUAGAGUACAGAAGGGGCAACUGGAAUUCUCGGUGUAGCGGUGAAAUGCGUAGAUAUCGAGAGGAACACCUGCGGCGAAGGCGGGUUGCUGGGCUGAUACUGACGCUGAUGCGCGAAAGCCAGGGGAGCGAACGGG
This 254-nucleotide ribosomal RNA is filed under the name uncultured bacterium. Its description in RNAcentral is "partial 16S ribosomal RNA". It matches the Rfam family "Bacterial small subunit ribosomal RNA", at positions 524 to 776 of the family's 1533-position model. The record is from RNAcentral.